This 272-nucleotide ribosomal RNA is filed under the name uncultured Staphylococcus sp. Its description in RNAcentral is "partial 16S ribosomal RNA". It matches the Rfam family "Bacterial small subunit ribosomal RNA", at positions 90 to 355 of the family's 1533-position model. The record is from RNAcentral. Lineage: Bacteria; Bacillati; Bacillota; Bacilli; Caryophanales; Staphylococcaceae.
CGUUAGCGGCGGACGGGUGAGUAACACGUGGGUAACCUACCUAUAAGACUGGGAUAACUUCGGGAAACCGGAGCUAAUACCGGAUAAUAUUUCGAACCGCAUGGUUCGAUAGUGAAAGANGGUUUUGCUAUCACUUAUAGAUGGACCUGCGCCGUAUUAGCUAGUUGGUAAGGUAACGGCUUACCAAGGCGACGAUACGUAGCCGACCUGAGAGGGUGAUCGGCCACACUGGAACUGAGACACGGUCCAGACUCCUACGGGAGGCAGCAGUA